CCCCCACCAGCAGCAUUCUGAAAAGCAUCUUUAGAACUACCAUCGACAUUCAGUUUAAACUCACCUAUCGAUGGUUUAUGCCAAUGUAUUAGUUUUGGAGCAAUCUGUAAUCUCUGUUGGAACUGUAAUCCCCACAUCUGUGCUAUCUGAGAGUCUCCUUUCCAUUGCCAUCGUUGGAAUUGCCCCCCGCAGCAUAACUGAUGAAUAAGUUUCAGGGUAUGCCAAAUCACUCGGUUUGAAUACAUGCCCAUGUUCCUAUGCUUAGCAUCAUUCCGUUCAACCCAUAAGAACCAGAAAAUAAAUAAAGGCAAGACUGUGCGUAUAUGGCCAGGCUUUACAUAAUCACCAGAGUUUGUCCAUGCCAAGAUUAUCUGAAUCACAUUUUGCGGAUUAAUAACAUAGAUUUGAAAUAAUUUUUCAAAAUAAUUCCAAACCUGUUUAGCCACUAUGUUGUCCCACAGGACAUGAAGUAGAGUUUCCUCUGAAGUACAGCAUUGGCAUUUAGAUGCAAGUUGGAACCCUUUAUUUUUCAAUCUCAUCUCCACUGGAAUCCAAUUGUUAAUUACCCUCCAAAGAAAAAAGGAUGUUGUUAAUGGGAUGCUCUUAUGCCAAAUAAUAUUAUAAACAGAGUUCACAGAUUUUCGUUGGCGAAUCAACUCCCAUGCACUUUUAGUUGAAAAUUGCCCAUCUGAGGUAGGAACCCAAUAUGCAACAUCUGCCUUAGAUGUAUCAAUCGGUAUUUUCAGAAUCUCCCCAAUAUGUUCAUCUGGCAACACCAUUUUAAGUUUGUCUACAUCCCAUUUACCCCUGUCAAAAAAAUAGCAAACUUUGGUCAUGGAUGCAUUAAAUGAAGGAAAUCGAGUUACCAGAGGUUCGUUCCCCAUCCAGCAGUCAUGCCAAAAAAAUAACUGUCCUUUGCCAAUCCGCCAUCUCAUGUUCUGAUCAGUUAUCUCACGACUAGCUAUCGUACGUUUCCAAGUCAUCGAAUCAUGAAGUUUCGGUUGGACACGCCCUGGAAUCUGACCACCACAAUAUUUUUGUCUCAUAAAUUCUGUCCACAAAUUAUUACAAGUCUGAAAACGCCACCACAGUUUCAAACCGAAAGCCUCAAAAACAUCUGUUAUAUUUCUAAUAUUUAAACCACCCUCAGAUGAUGGGAAAAUGACUUGCUGCCAAGAGGUCCAAUGCAUCCUCUUAUUACCUGCCGAAUCUCCCCACAAAAAAUUAUUAAACAAUCUCUCAAUUUUCUCAACAACACAAGCAGGAGGUUUAAGAACUUGGAGCAAAUAAAUGGGUAAAGAAGAUAACACACUUCGCAAUAAAGUGAUACGCCCACCUGGGGACAGAAUUUUGUUCUCCCAUCCUGAUACACGCUCCCUAAUUUUAUUAAUCAAAUCAUCAAAUAAAACUACCUUCUUAGGCCCUUUAUAGAGCGGAGCUCCCAAAUAAGUGAUAGGAAGACCACGAUGCAUAAAGCCUGUAGUUUGGGCUAUGAUUUGGCACCUAGAAAGAGCCAAAUUCCUAUGAGUGAUGAAACAGCUCUUUUGGUGAUUAACACGUUGUCCAGAAAUUGCCUCAUAUUCCUGUAAAAAGGACAGUACUUUCUGCAAAGAUGACUUAGCUCCAUUAGAAAAAAUAAUUACAUCAUCCGCAAAUGCAAGGUGGCUCACCAGCAUUGAACAGUUUGACAAGUAGUGAAUUGAAGGAUAUCUAACAUAAAUAUCAUUUAAACCUCUGGAUAAGUACUCAGCUGCCAAGACAAAUAACUGAGGAGAGAUAGAAUCACCUUGACGCAACCCUCUUUCGGAUUUAAAGUAUCCUGCUGCCUUACCAUUGAUCAACACCAAAAACCAACAAUUGGCAAUACACCUUUUGAUCAUUCCAAUCCACUGUGAGCAAAAACCGAAUUGCUGCAGCAUUUUGUACAAAAAAUUCCAUUCUAUACGGUCAUAUGCUUUCAUCAUGUCCAAUUUAAUUGCAAUAUUACCCCCUCUCGCCCUUUGAUCAAUUCGUCCAAUCAAUUCUUGAGCAAGCAGAAUAUUAUCACUAAUCAAACGCCCUCCCACAAAUCCACUUUGAUUUUCUGAAAUUAUAUAAGGCAAAAGCUUACCCAACCGAGACGCCAUAACUUUUGUCACAAUUUUAUUCAAGACCGUGCAAAGACUAAUUGGCCUAAAAUCACUCCAUUUUGAUGCAUUGGCAGUUUUGGGCAGCAACACAAGGGUGGUUGAAGUCACUCCCCUGGGCAUUUCCGCUCCAUGAAAAAAAUCUACAACCGCUGCAUGAAGAUCUGCUGCUAUAAUACUCCAACACUGUUGAUAAAAAUAAGAGGAAAAACCAUCCGGGCCAGCCACAUUAUCCUUAUCAAUGUCAAAGACAGCUUCUUUAAUUUCUUGCAAUGUUGGCACUGCACAUAAAAUUCCAUUAUCAGAUUCAGAGACAAUAGAAGGAAUAAUGGAAGCAUUGAACCUGGUCAUGUCACAUUGUUCUGCCUGCAUGAGAGAGGAGAAAAAAGCUACGGCCGAAUCUUGUAUUUUUUGCGGUUCCUCCAACCACUCACCCUCUGGAUUUUCUAUUUUGAAAAUGUGGCUUUUAACUCUCUUUUUUUGGACUCUCAUGUGGAAGAAUCUGGUAUUUCUUUCCCCUUCUACAAUCCACUUUAUACCCGAUUUUUGUUGCCAAAAAGUUUCUUCUAUACUGAGCAGUUGAUUAAGUUUUGCAUAUGACUUAUUAAAGGCCAUUCGAUUAGUCAUAGAUUUCUCCUGCUGAAACAUAAUCUCACUGACUUCUGCUUGUUUUUCUGCUUCCUUAAGAUUGCUGAAGAUGUCACCAAAUACUACCUUAUUCCACCAUUUUAAAUGUUGUUUCAGCCUUAGUUGUUUCCUCCAAAAAGCAACAAAUCCUUUCCCCGGAAUCGGUUGCUGCCAGUUUGCUUCCACACUUUGCUUAAACCCAUGGUGAUGAAUCCAAGCAUGUAAGAAACGGAAUGAUGAUGGUGACUUCUCAAUUAAUCUCGAACAUGAGAUUAGUAGUGGGCAGUGAUCCGAGCCAUCCCUGUUCAAGUGCUGAACCCGAGUGAUCGGCAAGCAGUUUAACCAUUGAUGAUUAUAAACCACUCUAUCUAACCUUUGAAACAUGUGGUUGUUGGUCCAUGUGUAUGGAUUACCUUCAAACCCACCAUCAACUAAACCACAAUCCAACAACGCUGUUGCAAAAUCUUCCAUGGAACCGCCAUGUGGGACAGCACCGUAUAAUCUCUCAUCUUUCUUCAGUAUGGCGUUAAAGUCUCCCCCUACUAGCCACGGGCCUUGGAUAUCUACAGACAAAGUUCUUAAACAAUCCCAGAGUGACAUUCUUUCAGACCUUGUGCAUUUAGCAUAAACAAAAGUAGCCAAAAUGGGAAAUUCUAGCCACGGGAAUGAUAAACUGACAUGCAGACAUUGAUUAUGAUUCAACAACACUUCACAAACAAUAUCAUACGAAUGAAAGAGCCAUAUUUUUUGAGAGCAGUUAGAUAUCACCUUCUCAUAUCCCAAUCUUCUCCUAAAAAACUCUGCUUUGCUAACAUCCACCAUAGGUUCCAGAAUAGCAAGCAAUUUUAUUUUGUGUAUGAGCUGUAAUUUUUUAAGUCUUCUUUGUAUUUCCUUACCCGCGAUACCUCUCACAUUCCAUACAAGUGCGCUGAUCAUGAUCUGGUUCUGGCUGCAAAACUUACAGAGAUGGAAUCAGCAUCAGAGAUCCCAUCAUUCUCCCCCAUAUCCACUGCUUCCUCCGAGGCGAGACUGAUUAUUUUUCCAAGUGAAGUUACCGGAUCUGAGUGUCUCCUUAGUCGCACCAGCGGAUGAACUUCUAACUCUGCAGAGGGAGUUCCUGAUACAGAAGGAACACUGUGCAUUUCUUUAUUAAAAAAACACUUACCCGAUGCUGACUCUAAAUUGGGCGGGUUAUCAUCAUUUUCUUCUAUCUUUUCAUGUGAACAGGCUAUUGUAGAUGCAACCCGAUUAUUCCCAGCUAAUUGUCGCGACUGACUUUCACCUUGGGCAUUAAUUGGGCUGUACUCCCCACUGCCUUCUAGCAUAGCCACUGAUAUAUUCUGACCCCCCGACCCACUCAAUGACAUCUGCCGUCCCUCCCCAUGACUGAAAGUUGUUACCUCCCGAAAAUAAUUUUUCACUUUCUCACCUGUACGUGCUUGCAAAAAUUCCUGCACCGCUUUCCCAUCACCCUCUGCGGACACUGUUUGGUCCAGAACCCUCACACCCGUGACUUUACGUUUUUGGUCCUGCUGGUCUUGCAUAUAGCGUUCUGCUACGGAUGCUGUCGCCAUAGGCAAAGGCACCCGGUCACAGGCCCUUUCUGGGUAAAACGCAUCAUCUCCAUGCGGACUGGGUUCUGCCAUACCACCAGUCUGCUUUUGUUGAUUUUUGUCCUGUUUCUUUAUGUUCGUCGACCCAUUCUCAGGCAUCUGCCGUCCUUCACCCUGCCAGUAAGCUUUUUCCUGUAUUGGAAGGGCAGUAAGAGAAUUUUUUAAUUGCUGACCUGUGUGUACAUGUUCGGAUUCCUGUCGCAUCAUCCCAUCAUCAUCUGCAGUCGCAGGUAAUUCUUUAUCCCUCAAUCCCGUGGCUUUUUCUAUUUGCUCACCAUGCACGUAGAAUGAAGGACGUGAAACGGAGCAUUCUACUGCUGGAGCGAAAUGGCCUUCACUCCCUAUCAACACUGUAUCAUCCACUGCCCGAUCAAAGGGGUUUUUCUGGAUUAUUUUCUUCUUUUUUUUUCGAAUUAAUCUCUUGCCCAGACAUUCCUCUUCCGUUUGCUCUAGAUUGCCAGUAGCUGAUACACAUUCAACGGGUUCCUCCGCAUCGCCUACAUGCCCAAUAACAUGCAUCAACCUCCCGACGAUUGGCUGCAGUGAUUUAGCAGGCUCGGCAUCGCUCGUUACCGACGCCAAUGUUCUCUCCCCAGGCUUUCGUCCCAAUUUCUGUUGACCCACAGCUGAUGUCCCCUCAGACUUCUUGCUAUCAUCUGCUCGUGUAUUUAGGGAUUCAGGAGCUACAUGCUCUACAAACCUCAUCUCUUUUUCUCCUACAACCGUUCCCGAUACACUCUUCUCCCCAUGCACAUAGCCAGCUUGUUGUGUAACAUUCUCCUGUUGUUUUUUACUAACAUGUGGGUCUUCGUUUCUAGUCUUCUGAUCACCUUUCGUUUCAUUCUUCUUCAUGUCCUCACCUUCUUGCGUUUGUCCAUCCCCACUCAUUUCAUUUGUAAUUUUUGUACCUCCCAUAGGAUUACUGUUGACUAACUCUGCUUGGCCCUGUUUUUCUGUUCGGGUCUGAGCCACGUCUCCAUCUCCCGAGAUUGUUUGAAACCUGUUGAAAACUGGAACGCUAGCAUGCUCAGGGUCCUGAUCUGACCCUAGUUCCCUACCGUGCCGAUUCUUUGCACCGCUGAUGCCAACGUUGCCCACUGCUUGCCAACGUCGGAUCUGUUUAGUUGGUUCCUCAGUGCACAAAUUUUUUUCUUUUUCCAGAUCUCCUGCAUCCCCUUCCACCUUCUUCCCUCCUUCAGUCUGUGUUGAGGGCACUACUGACAUAUUUUCUAUGCCUCUGUUUUGUGGUUUGCCAGAUUUUGGUUUAUUCCCCAGCACAAUGCAUUCAGCUUCUUUGUGCCCUACGUGGCAACAGUGAUCGCAAUAAUCUGGCAUCCUUGCAAACUCCACUUUCUGAGAAUAACCACCCGUGACGGCGCCCGUUUCUCUAUUCCGAAUCACUAUCCAAACUUCCUCUACAGGCGGCUGUCGACAAUCAAACUCCACACAAACCCGUGCUACGCUCGGACGAGAUCCGUUCGCCGUUGCCUCGUCCACAUAAAGUGGUUGUCGUACCGUUUUAGCUAUCAGCAUCAAAGCCGAUUUUUCAUACAGAUGAGCCUUGAGAUUAGGAAAAGAGAUCCAAAUCGGAACCAAAGCUGAUUCUUUUUCCGCUUCAAAAUUUGGGUUCCAUUUGAAAACUCUCAUUUUCUGAUUCAAAAUAAACCACUGCUGCUUGACCCAGAGGCGAUUAAAAUCUUGUUCAUUGGACAAGUGUAUCAACACAUGCUUAUAGUCCAUCCACCGGAUCUCAUAUGCCCCCGAUAAGCCUAUUCCCUUAAACGCUUGUCGUAUGUCCUGCAAUCUGGGCAUGCGAGUGAAUUUUCCGACAAGGGAGUGGACGAAAGGGCGAGCCAAAAUCUGGAUCUCAUCUUCAUAAAACAUGGCGGCUGGCCUAUCCUUGUAUGUGCUUGGGUUCCUCGUGGGUGGGAUUACUGGAGGCUUUUCUCCUGUUGCUAUUGACAGGAACGAUUUUUUUAUUGCUCGAGGGGAUAUAGGUUGAUGGUUUUCAUCAGGUAGGGCUUGUGGGAUGCCAUGUUUGACUGGCGGCUGUAAAUUUCCUUCUCGUAUGGCUUGUGACGGCUGAAGGUUGUUUCGUGGCAGACGGUUGUGGUCUAUCCCGAUCGGCAUGGAAGGUUGUGUGGUGGCCGGUUGGAAGGUGCUGGCAAGGUCCGGCGGCCUACCGGCGGCCAUCCCUUGAGAUUGUGGGAGGGGCGAAAAUUGAGAAAAGUUGAGAGCGUUUUCCACUUUUUUUUUUUUAUAGCGGGUUUAGGGUUUAGGGUUUAGGGUUUAGGGUUUUUUUUUUUUUUUUUAUGCUGGAAGUUCCCGCAGGGCCCAGCUACCCUGUGAAGAUUUUAUUAAUUAUCGAAAAAUUGAAGAACAGUAGGGAGGGGGAUGUAAACCGAACCUCCAGAAUUACAUGAGAUUGAAAAGAGUUAAUGAAAGCAUCUAGUGAGGAAAAUGUAAUUUUAUGUGCAUAGUUAUGAUUGCAAACAUAAAAUUGAAUCAUUUUCCUAUUACAAGAAUUUAUAUAAUCCCUAAAAGAUAACAGAUAAAAAUAAAUUAGGAGUACCACUCCUUUACAUUUAUUUAAAUCGUACAUAUGGUAAAUUUAAUUUAUCUAACCUAAGAAUUCCUCUAAACUUACCCUCGACUUCUGUAAAUACUUGCAGGUUGUGAUGUUUAUGUCCCUGAUUAGAGAGAUAGUCAGCAGCAUGAUUCCCUUCUCUGUAUAUGUGUGAUAACCGAAAAGUGAGCCCAUUCAAACAUUUGCGGAUGGAGGCCAAUAAAUAACGAGUUUGAUAUGAACCUUGAUGUCCCUCAUGUAUCAUUUGGACAACUAUUUUCGCAUCCAUUUCUAUCCAAAUACGAGAUACAUUAUACUCAACACUUAAUACCAGACCUCGAUGUAAAGCCAUUAACUCUGCCUGCAACGAGUUAGCCGGUCCAAAAUUUUCAGAGAAACCGAAAAUUAAGUUACCUGUAUGGUCUCGAAGAAGUCCCCCGCCAGCAGCAUUCUGGAAAGCAUCCUUAGAACUACCAUCGACAUUCAACUUAAAUUCACCUAUCGACGGUUUUUGCCAAGAUAUUAAUCUUGGAGUAAUCUGUAAUCCUUGUUGGAAAUGUAAUCCCCACAACCGUGCUAUCUGAAAAUCUCCUUUCCAUUGCCAACGUUGGAAUUGCCGCCCACAAAAUAAUUGAUGGAUAAGUUUUAGAAUACGCCAAAUCACUCGGUCCGAAUACAUGCCCAUGUUCCUAUGCUUAGCAUCAUUCCUUUCAACCCAUAGGAACCAAAAAAUAAAUA
RNAcentral lists this long non-coding RNA (7670 nucleotides) under Theobroma cacao (cacao). RNAcentral's name for it is "long non-coding RNA (TCAC_LNC001483)". Lineage: Eukaryota; Viridiplantae; Streptophyta; Magnoliopsida; Malvales; Malvaceae. The record is from RNAcentral.